AAGCGCUCAUGACCAGACUUGCGCCGGAGCGAUCAUCCGCUCUUCUGAGCGGUGCACUCGCUCCGGGGCAGGCCAGCAUCGGUUCCGGCGGGGGGAUAACAGUUCGGGGAAUGUGGCUCGUCUCUCGGCGAGUGUUUAUAGCCCCGUUCACAAUGCCCCCGCGGGGACCGAGGUUCGCGCGUCUGCAAGGAUGCUGGCGUAAUGGUCAUCAGCGA
This 215-nucleotide ribosomal RNA is filed under the name Lasiosphaeris sp. RNAcentral describes it as "partial large subunit ribosomal RNA". Lineage: Eukaryota; Fungi; Ascomycota; Sordariomycetes; Sordariales; Lasiosphaeriaceae. The record is from RNAcentral.